UACGAAGGGGACUAGCGUUGUUCGGAAUCACUGGGCGUAAAGCGCACGUAGGCGGAUAUGUCAGUCAGGGGUGAAAUCCCGGGGCUCAACCUCGGAACUGCCUUUGAUACUGCAAGUCUCGAGUCCGAUAGAGGUGGGUGGAAUUCCUAGUGUAGAGGUGAAAUGCGCAGAUAUCAGGAGGAACACCAAUGGCGAAGGCAGCACUCUGGGACGUGACUGACGCUGAGGAACGAAAGCGUGGGUAGCGAACAGG
RNAcentral lists this ribosomal RNA (253 nucleotides) under uncultured bacterium. RNAcentral's name for it is "partial 16S ribosomal RNA". It matches the Rfam family "Bacterial small subunit ribosomal RNA", at positions 524 to 776 of the family's 1533-position model. The record is from RNAcentral.